This 597-nucleotide ribosomal RNA is filed under the name Pardosa californica. RNAcentral's name for it is "eukaryotic LSU rRNA". The stretch from base 412 to 597 matches the Rfam family "Eukaryotic large subunit ribosomal RNA", at positions 665 to 838 of the family's 3401-position model. Lineage: Eukaryota; Metazoa; Arthropoda; Arachnida; Araneae; Lycosidae. The record is from RNAcentral.
AGGAUUCAGUCUGUAGUUGUCGCAGAGCUGGUCGGGGGCUUCCCCGGGGCCGUCCGACUGCGAAGGACAGACGCAUUUGACUCCCUCUCCGAGGACGCCGCAGCCCGCGGGGAAGUGCAAACGUGACGGCCUUGAGGGCGGGAGAUGGCAGGUGGCCGGUGGCGAGCUUCGUGCUUUCCGCCGGUUGUUAGCCGUCCCGCCGGUGGCCCGUCUCCCCGCGGAGGUAUCGUGACGCCUUUCGGGGCGUUCGACGUCUCCUCCUCGCCCGGACGUGCAGUGGCGAGCGAAGGCAGCCGCGCGGCCGCACUACGUCGUAGUGGGCCAGCGGCCGGCGGCCGCUGAGGACCGGUUGGAGGCUGGAGGCUAGCGGCGAGUAGGUCGGUCACCCACCCGACCCGUCUUGAAACACGGACCAAGGAGUCUAACAUGUGCGCGAGUCAAUGGGUCUUGAACAGGCCCAGAGGCGCAAUGAAAGUAAAGGUCGGCACCAGCCGACCGAGUCGGGAUAGGCGCACCGACGACCCGCCCUGUGCCGUUUACGGCUUGGGCGGAGUAUGAGCGCACACGUUGGGACCCGAAAGAUGGUGAACUAUGCCC